AAUGGGUGUCUCGCACAUUUGGACUAAAGGUUUUUCGUUGGUCCUCCCGUCUUGACCCGCAACAUAUAUUUGUCAAUCUCCGUUUCAUAUUUUUUUGCUCAUUGCAGGCGCAAAUUUCUCAGUUUCCUCGAAUUUCUCAAGAUAGGGGAUUCAAUGAUUGCUUGAUUCUGGAGGGAAAUUAGGGUUGAUAAGAUAGUGAGGAAAGGGAAAAAAAAGAUGGGUUAUUUCAAGCAGGCGCUAAGAAGCAUCGAUGCGUCGCACUCCAGCCCUCACUGCCUCGCCCCGACCUGUCCCCUUCAAUAAGUCGGCGCCGCCGCCCCUCAGUCCGCCGCUAUCCCCAGCAGAUACGUCAGCCACGGAAAUCGUUUCCAGUUUUCAGUGAAUCCAUCUGCCCUGGCUUGCAAUGACUCUGAGCGACGUGGUACGGUAUUUUGAAAAUAGUUGUUGCUCGCUGCCUAUGGCUCAUGACCAACUAUUGUUGAGAUAUGAGUUACAGGAAGAUCAUUCCUUAUUAGGGGAAGAUGAAUUCGAGUAUGACCCUGAUCUGGUCAAGGUUCAAAUUAAGUCAUGUCUCGAGUUUUGGCUGGGCAAUAGAGAAGCCAGUUACCCUCCUAUGGAGGAGCUCUGGAAAUGCAAGUUCUGCAAGUUUGCCUCUGUAUGUCCAAUUAACUUAGACCUAGAUGAUUCUCCAAGCAAAACGAAAAGUGAAGACAUUCCUUCGCCUGAUCCGACUCCUAAGUAAGCCAUUCUUCAUACUCGGCUUCUCCUCAAAGAAAAGGAGCAGUUGGAUUUAUUGAAUCUACUUGAUUCUUGCUGGGGUUGUUGCUGUUAAUCUCUCCCAUUUGGAGGAUUUACUACGUGGUUUAAUUUGUUGGUCAGUUUAAUAUUGUUGUAUAGUUCAUUAUUGUUGUUGAUUGUUAUAACAUUAGGAUUAAAUGUCAAAUAGGAAAUUGCGAAAUUGUAUUGCAUUUACUGCUGCAUCGUAAAGUUCAACCCAUAACUUAUUUAUGUAUUAUUUGAA
Salvia miltiorrhiza (redroot sage) is the source of this 1021-nucleotide long non-coding RNA. RefSeq lists it as uncharacterized. The record is from RefSeq and is a predicted model, not a curated record. The transcript is spliced from 5 exons. Lineage: Eukaryota; Viridiplantae; Streptophyta; Magnoliopsida; Lamiales; Lamiaceae.